UACGAAGGGGGCUAGCGUUGUUCGGAUUUACUGGGCGUAAAGCGCACGUAGGCGGAUCGUUAAGUCGGGGGUGAAAUCCUGGAGCUCAACUCCAGAACUGCCCUCGAUACUGGCGAUCUAGAGUCCGGAAGAGGUGAGUGGAACUCCUAGUGUAGAGGUGGAAUUCGUAGAUAUUAGGAAGAACACCGGUGGCGAAGGCGGCCCACUGGAUCGGUACUGACGCUGAGGUGCGAAAGCGUGGGGAGCAAACAGG
This 253-nucleotide ribosomal RNA is filed under the name uncultured bacterium. Its description in RNAcentral is "partial 16S ribosomal RNA". It matches the Rfam family "Bacterial small subunit ribosomal RNA", at positions 524 to 776 of the family's 1533-position model. The record is from RNAcentral.